RNAcentral lists this transfer RNA (63 nucleotides) under marine eukaryotic metagenome. It matches the Rfam family "tRNA", at positions 7 to 64 of the family's 71-position model. From Rfam's summary of the family: Transfer RNA (tRNA) molecules are approximately 80 nucleotides in length. The record is from RNAcentral.
GUAGCUCUAACGGCAGAGCGCCGGACUCCAAAUCCGAGGGUUGGGGGUUCAAAUCCCUCCUGG